RNAcentral lists this unclassified non-coding RNA (239 nucleotides) under uncultured Mortierella. RNAcentral describes it as "sequence contains ITS2". Lineage: Eukaryota; Fungi; Mortierellomycota; Mortierellomycetes; Mortierellales; Mortierellaceae. The record is from RNAcentral.
AACAUCUCAAAUCUCUCUGCGCUUGCGCAAAAGAGAAUUGGAUUUGAGCGAUCCCGACUCCUUCGUCAGAAAAGAGGAGGGUCGCUUGAAAUGCAGGUGCAGCUGGACAUUCUUCUGAGCUAAAAGCAUAUCUAUUUAGUCCCGUCAAACGGAUUAUUACUUUUGCUUCAGCUAAUAUAAAGGUCGAAUGAACUACCAACGCUGAUUGCAGGAAAACUCGUUCUUAACCGAACUUGUAA